Molecule: long non-coding RNA, 597 nt
Organism: Sarcophilus harrisii (Tasmanian devil)
Lineage: Eukaryota; Metazoa; Chordata; Mammalia; Dasyuromorphia; Dasyuridae
Exons: 3
Source: RefSeq, a predicted model, not a curated record
UACCAGGAAAACGCUCAAGGUAAAAACUCAUAUGAAGCAAAAACUGGCUCUUCAGUCUUUCCUGGUUUCCAAAAGAGAGGAGCCCUUGGAAAACGAGAACCGCUGGCUCAAACAUCUUUGGAGUUGGCAAUUCCAGGAGAUUGGGUGCCUGUUAAGUCCUGGAAGGUUCAGAGUGGGAAGGACCUUAUCAGAUGUUACUGAUGACCGAGACCCUGGUCCAGGCUGAGAAGAGCCGGUGAACCAAACUAGCUACUGAACUCCUAUUCCUCCCAAUACUGACUCUGGUUCUUCACUCUACUGGGAGACAAUCUACAUGGAGACUGUUGCCACAGGAUCCAGAAGGGGAGAUUGUUGCCACAGGAUCCAGGAGAGGAGACUGUUGCCACAGGAUCCGGGAAUGCCUGCCCUGUCCAUGCAGGAGCCUACUAAGACAACCCAAGAGGGAUUAGGUCAUGGUCCAGCCCACCCAUGUAUGGAAAGCAUGGGCUUUAUCCAGUGUGUUGAGCCUCUUUAUGGGGAGGGGGAAGUGAGGAGAAUUGGCACUUGCAAGCAUUCUUCCUCACUUUGAAAUGAAUUAAAAUUCUGUUUGAUCCCUGA